Molecule: ribosomal RNA, 193 nt
Filed under: uncultured Lactobacillus sp.
Lineage: Bacteria; Bacillati; Bacillota; Bacilli; Lactobacillales; Lactobacillaceae
Description: partial 16S ribosomal RNA
Rfam family: Bacterial small subunit ribosomal RNA
Source: RNAcentral
CCUACGGGAGGCAGCAGUAGGGAAACACCACAAUGGGCGCAAGCCUGAUGGAGCAACACCGCGUGAGUGAAGAAGGGUUUCGGCUCGUAAAACUCUGUUGUUGGAGAAGAACGUGCGUGAGAGCAACUGUUCAUGCAGUGACGGUAUCCAACCAGAAAGUCACGGCUAACUACGUGCCAGCAGCCGCGGUAAU